Non-coding RNA from Hypoxylon crocopeplum, 86 nucleotides. The record is from the annotation of a GenBank genome assembly. Lineage: Eukaryota; Fungi; Ascomycota; Sordariomycetes; Xylariales; Hypoxylaceae.
UCUCGAUUGGUCUAGUGGUCAGGAUACCUGCUUGUCAUCAUAAGGCAAGAACGCAGGUGGCCGGGGUUCGAUUCCCCGAUCGAGAG